CCUACGGGUGGCAGCAGUGAGGAAUAUUGGUCAAUGGACGCGAGCCUGAACCAGCCAAGUCGCGUGAAGGAUGACUGCCCUACGGGUUGUAAACUUCUUUUAUAAAAGAAUAAAGUGAGGCACGUGUGCCUUUUUGUAUGUACUUUAUGAAUAAGGAUCGGCUAACUCCGUGCCAGCAGCCGCGGUAAUACGGAGGAUCCGAGCGUUAUCCGGAUUUAUUGGGUUUAAAGGGUGCGUAGAUGGGUUGUUAAGUCAGUUGUGAAAGUUUGCGGCUUAACCGUAAAAUUGCAAUUGAUACUGGCAGCCUUGAGUACAGUUGAGGUAGGCGGAAUUCGUGGUGUAGCGGUGAAAUGCUUAGAGAUCACGAAGAACUCCGAUUGCGAAGGCAGCUUACUAAACUGCAACUGACAUUGAUGCUCGAAAGUGUGGGUAUCAAACAGGAUUAGAUACCCGUGUAGUC
This 460-nucleotide ribosomal RNA is filed under the name uncultured bacterium. Its description in RNAcentral is "partial 16S ribosomal RNA". It matches the Rfam family "Bacterial small subunit ribosomal RNA", at positions 338 to 795 of the family's 1533-position model. The record is from RNAcentral.